This 331-nucleotide long non-coding RNA is filed under the name Phoenix dactylifera (date palm). Its description in RNAcentral is "long non-coding RNA (PDAC_LNC005179)". Lineage: Eukaryota; Viridiplantae; Streptophyta; Magnoliopsida; Arecales; Arecaceae. The record is from RNAcentral.
CCGUUCGUUCUCUCUACUUCAAGGAUGACCCCCAGAACGCCGAAGGGAGAUUUCCAAGCCGCAGGAGGUGGUAAGCCCCAUCGUCGAUUUCAUUUCACGUGUUUGUGAUUGGAUAAGUUUGCGUUUUGUUUUAUAGCUCUGGGCUUCUUCUAAUUCUAAGUUCUAUGUCGCUUUUAUCCUUUUUUUUCCUUUUAAAAUUAUAGACAUUAUUCAGUCAAUGGUAAAUAAUUAUGAAAAAAGCAUUUCUUUUUGCUGCUCCACUGCGUCAUAAUUUGAAAUAUCAGCUGCUAUCAUAUCACUGGCUGUCAUAAUAGUCUCACAGACCUCCACU